This 492-nucleotide ribosomal RNA is filed under the name uncultured bacterium. RNAcentral describes it as "partial 16S ribosomal RNA". It matches the Rfam family "Bacterial small subunit ribosomal RNA", at positions 29 to 507 of the family's 1533-position model. The record is from RNAcentral.
AGUGAACGCUGGCGGUAGGCCUAACACAUGCAAGUCGAACGGCAGCACAGUAAGAGCUUGCUCUUACGGGUGGCGAGUGGCGGACGGGUGAGGAAUACAUCGGAAUCUACUUUUUCGUGGGGGAUAACGUAGGGAAACUUACGCUAAUACCGCAUACGACCUACGGGUGAAAGCAGGGGAUCUUCGGACCUUGCGCGAUUGAAUGAGCCGAUGUCGGAUUAGCUAGUUGGCGGGGUAAAGGCCCACCAAGGCGACGAUCCGUAGCUGGUCUGAGAGGAUGAUCAGCCACACUGGAACUGAGACACGGUCCAGACUACUACGGGAGGCAGCAGUGGGGAAUAUUGGACAAUGGGCGCAAACCUGAUCCAGCCAUACCGCGUGGGUGAAGAAGGCCUUCGGGUUGUAAAGCCCUUUUGUUGGGAAAGAAAAGCAGCAGGUUAAUACCCCGCUGUUCUGACGGUACCCAAAGAAUAAGCACCGGCUAACUUCGUG